Molecule: ribosomal RNA, 253 nt
Filed under: uncultured bacterium
Lineage: Bacteria
Description: partial 16S ribosomal RNA
Rfam family: Bacterial small subunit ribosomal RNA
Source: RNAcentral
UACAGAGGUCCCGAGCGUUGUUCGGAUUCACUGGGCGUAAAGGGUGCGUAGGUGGUGAGGUAAGUCGGAUGUGAAAUCUCCAGGCUCAACCUGGAAACUGCAUUGGAAACUACCUUGCUAGAGGGUUUGAGGGGGGACUGGAAUUCUCGGUGUAGCAGUGAAAUGCGUAGAUAUCGAGAGGAACACCAGUGGCGAAGGCGAGUCCCUGGACAACACCUGACACUGAGGCACGAAAGCCGGGGGAGCAAACAGG